CUUUUCAAAUUAGAGUUUUCUCUGAAUAUGUCCAGGAGUGGGAUUGCUAGAUCACACGGUAGUUCUAUUUUCAGUUUUUUGGGGACCCUCCAUACUGUUUUCCUUGUGGCUGCACCAAUUUAGAUAUAUACCAACAGAGUGGAGGGGGUUCCCUGUUCUCCUAAAGUGUAAUCAUUUUCAAUUUCAAUCAUAUUUCAAAAUUUAAUUCUGGAGGAAUCUUAAGAGGUCAUCAUUCUGGGCUAAGCGGUUUUCCAGUAGAAUUUUUUGUGAAGAUGGAAAUGUUUAUUUUGCACUGUUUGACAGAUGUUUAUUUUGCACUGUUUGAAAUGUGACAAGUGUGACCAAGGAACUGAAUUUUAAAUUAUAUUUAAUUUUAAUUAAUUAAAAGUUAGAUUUAAGUGACCACAUGUGACUAGUGUCUACUGUAUUGAACAAUUCAGUUCUAUCUUUACAGACUUUAAGUCUCAAAUAAUCACUAAGCUACUUUUUUUUCUUUUGGGGCUUUUUUCCAUAAAAAAAUAAGAAUAGAAAUAUUGAAAUAAAUACAGGUUUCUCCACCUUAGAUUACCUAUUUUAUCAAAUAGAAUAAUUUAAAGGAGAAAACCAGCCCUGCCUUUUGAUUCCUAAAUGAUCCUAGGUGAUGGCAUUUUUGUAUUAUUAACAUGGAGGGAGUGUUCCUUUAGGGACCUUCCAUGGCAUGUAUUUAGUAGAGAUGUAGAGUUCACCGCACAUUUUCACUCUCUCUCUCUUUUUUUCCCCCAGAAAGAAUAUCUUGUAUUAUUAUCAUUCUCGUGUUAGGGAAGGGGAGGUUGAGCUACAGUGACCUGCCAGAUAUGACAGCAUGAAUAGGAGGGGCUCUGGCUCAUUUCAAACAAAACAUUUCCUAAGGACUCAUUGCUUGUGGCAGGUACUGUGUUAUGUGUGAAAGAUUCAGAGAGGAAUAAAAUAAAGCUCUCCUGUCUUGGAUAUGCUGGGUGCUCUCCCCUCUGGCAGGAGAUUGGAGGCAGGGAGAAGAAUGAUGCUGGCGGGAAUGGUCACACACCUCCUCUCUAGGAGACUACUUAGUAACACUUCUCUCCAUUUGGGUGUCAGCAGCCCAUCCCCCGCUUCUAAGCCUGUUGGAGUCCCCAUCCCACUGGCUUGCACUUUCUUUAAAGUGUGUCUGCAUUCUGACUUAUCUUCAAAUCUCACCCCUUUAAAUAUAAAUCCUCCUUCCUGAAUUAUCUGGUGAAUGCGAUCUGAUUCUUAUUGGGACUCCUAAUUGACCUGUUUCUGAUGGUACAUCUCCUCUCUUCUUGGGUUGAGUGGAGCCUUACAACAGGCACACAGAGAAUAGCAGUACUGGGGCCUCUUUUCUUGACCACUGGCUGAUACAUGGAGUAGAUUCCAGUACUCCAGAUGCCCAGCAUGCUGGGGGCCUCAACCCCAUCGCAGAUGAUGCUUCAGUGCUGAGCUGUGGGUUUAAACUGAAGGCAUUCCUUGGCAAAUUAUUCCAUUAUGGUAUACCUAAAAGAAGAAAUAUUUACAUUUAUCAAUGAUUCAAUAAUAAAUUCUGCUAACAGGUAUAACUUUAUUUCUUGACCAAUCAUAAAGAUUUCAUUGAUAGGGUCAAUAAAUGAUUUUGUGAAUGACAAAAUUUUGAUUAUUCUUAAGUUAUGAUGCACUAUAAAUACAUAUCAGAAAUGAACAGAUGUAUUAAUUAAGAGGUCACAGCAUUAACAUUAUUUAAUAUACUAUAUGUGAGAUCACAUAAUUAUAUCUUAACACAGAUUUAUGAAUCUUCACUCAGUUUAUCAUAAGGAAACAAUUUUAGUAUUUCAAAUAAUGUAACUGAGGCAGCUGCCUAUUUCAUCCUGAAUGAUUACUAGAAUAUCUAUUAUGUGCCAGACACUGUGGCAGGUACUAGGAUUAAGGUAGUAAACACAUAGACACUGUCUGUCUUUGUGGAAUUUAUACUUUAUUGCAUAAGCUAUAUGCCAAAAGAAUAAUUUGCAAAUAAUUUAUUGAAAUUGUUGCAUAGUUAUAUAGUGUUUGUUUCUUUUUCCCCUUCCUCAUUCCACAUCCCUCCCCCAUCUGACCUGGAACCUGACUUGAGACCAAGAAAACAGGGUUUUGUGGAAAUUUGUCUCAAGGAGGAGACAUAUUCUGUAGCAUAGUGAAGUGCAGGAGAUACUUAAUCUUGGUAGUAUGAAGAACAUAAUGGCUUUAUACGGAGACUUAAAAGACUGAUCUCAGGGAAAAUUGUUUUCCUUUCUCCGCUCAGUGAUGAAAAUCUCUGGCAUGAUUUGGUAGCACAACAUAAAGGAUCUGAACAAGAAGAGGGCUGGUGACAGACUCUGGGGAUCUGGUUGAAGGAGGUGAGAGUGGAGAAAACAGACAAAAAGAGAGAGAUGCUGUGGGAGGAAGGAAAUAGAAGAGGGCCCUUGGCCAAGACAUUUCUGCUUACAUUUCAGUUGCCCAUAUGGGAAUGCCAUGAAUAUCUGGAGCAGCUGGGUUUGGAACCAGCUUUCAAGACAGUCCUAAUGAUAAUAGCCCCUGGUAUUCACAUCCUUAUGUGGUCUCCCAUGCUGGAAAAGCCUGGCUUGUGUAACCAGUAGGAUCUUAUACAAGUGAUUGUAUCUUUUGAGUCUAGGUUAUAAAAAAUAGAUGGCUUCUGCCCUGCUUCCUCGGACCACUCAGUCUGGCGGAGGCCAGCUGCCAUAUUGCGAGGAUUCUCAAGCAUCUCUAUGGGGAGGCCAUGAGGGAGAAACUGAGGCCAUGUGGGUGAACAGGCUUGGAGGUGGAUCUUCUGGCUUCAGUCAAGCCUUCAAAUGACUACAGCCUGGGAUGGUAUCUUGCCUGCAACCUCAUAAGAUCCUGAGCCAGAAUCACUGGCUGAACUUCUGAAUUACUGACCUCAGGAAACUUGCCACUGAACUGGGGGAAGACUGUCUCUGACUGCUGAACGGGCCUCAUCUUGGAAGCUGCAGUUCUUAUAGAUUCUCUGCGACUCAAGAUUUGUCAUCCCUCAAGCCCCUAGCCCUGGAAUCACCUCAUCCUUCACCUAAUGGCCUUAUAUGAGUGCCACUGGCUUCAGAGCAUAUGCAGAUGCUUGAAUAUUUUUUAUAACUCAUGGAGCCAAAGGACUCUCUGGGGACGGGUAUUUCCUUUGACCCUCUUCUGCUCAGAUGUUCUUCACGCAAUUUGUUUGCUGUAGCUUUUCCAUAUCGGUGAAGAUGAUUUUCCUUUAGAACUCUAGAGGACCUCUUUAAAUCCACCCUCUUCUUCCUGAUGCAGUAAAUCUCAAGGCUAAUACCUCAUGGCUGAGCAGUGGUAAGGGGACAUGAUUUACAGGGACAUGGUCCGUAUUUUGGUUUAAUAUUUCCAAACCAAUUUCCUCUUUAUGCAAAUCAUCCAAUAACAAAUUAAAAAAAAAAGAUAGACUAUCAGAGAAUAUUCAGGUUUUACUAACAAUAUUUCCAUGGGUGUUGGAACUAGAUGAAAUUUCAGGGAUAAUAUUGGGAAAAUUGACUACAGGGGAAGUCAGAGGAUAGAGCAAAUGGUAGGGUAUUUAAAUGAGAUACCAGGAUCCUGCUGACCACCUCUAUGCAAAAGGCAAUCAUCAUAGGUUAUUUCAUAUAAUGCUUUCCAUUAACCUUGUAACUUAGAUUUUUUUUUAGUCUUUCUUCAUAUGUGAAGAACCAGAGAGUAAAGUUACAGCUAAAUGUGGCAAAGACAGUGUAACUCUCAAAUGACUAUUUGUGAAUUCCAAAACUGUGUCUAUUUUAUCAAAUUCUUCUAUAGGUUCUAGAAAAGACCCAAGGCUCAUGCCUGCAGAAACUACAGGCAGUCUGUAUUCUACCCUACCAGCACCAAUGCCAAGGAGUAAAAUAGGCUGUUGGGCCCUUUGUGAUUUUUUUCCCAUUUAAGUUAUGCCUGUUCGCAUCUAUUUUUCUGAUUAAAAUCUUGUAGAUAGACACAUAGAUAGGGAGACUAUUACUGAGUGCUACAUGCCUCUAGGGGGAAAAACUGGUGAGAUACCGUUUAGGUUUUAUGAAGGAGAUAGCUAUAAAUGUACAUUGGUGUUUUGGGAGAAACAAAGUAAAAACAUUUUAGCAAAGUGUAUCUUGGAUGUUUGAAAAUAUGGUGCUACAAAAACUUAAAUUGAGCUCAAUAGUUCUUGAGACUUUGAUCUAAAUCAAAAGGAUUUUGGACAGCUUAUGGAUUUUUUGCUUCCCCGAAACUGUUGGAAGCCAUAGAUUUGAAAAGGAAUUUCACACAGAUAUGAUUAUCACAGCACCAAUAAACUGUUAUCUCUGUAGAACAGAAGUAGGCAAGUCAGUGUUUUGUGGGACCAGGUUUCUCAGCCAUGGAGAUUUCAGGGGCUGGUGUGGGAAAGACAAACUGAAAACGUGCAAUAUUAUGCAUAUUAAAGGGCUCAUGAUGAAAUCUUACCAACAUAAACUUUAUCAGGUCACUUUAAUGUAAAUAAGAUGAUUUUAUAUUGAAAGUCAUGGGAAAGGGAACUUUUGCUCUUUCUUUACCAAUUUUAAUUUAAUAAGAAAUUAUAGCUAUGACAAUUCAAAUGAAGUAGUUGUGUCCGCAUUUUCCAUAUUGUACCUCUUCAGUGAAGUAUUUUAAAACAUGCCUUUCCAAAUUAUGUUACUUUUAUUUAUUUUACAAUUUUGCAGUGUGUUAAUAUACAUUAUGAAAAGUACAUGCAAAUGGAAACUUAGAGCACAAGUAAAAUAAAAUAAAUAAUAUUUAAAAAUUAAAAACAAUUUUUACUUUUACUUAAAAUACUGGUAUUAUUACUAUUAGAAAUAUGGUUGAAUAUGUUCCAUUCUUUUUGAAAAAUUUGGUUUAACACUUUGUCAUCCAUUUAUUUGAAGGUUUAAAUCUAAGUUCAGUUUAUUUCACAACUCGCUUUUAAACAGUAAUAAAGAUACCUCACAAAGAUAAAUUGAAACGGAAGAAAUAUAUUUUUUCGCUGCAUUUAUUAAUCAUGAAUUCAUAAAAAAUCAUCUGCCAAUUUUAUAAGGUUUAAAUUAAAAAGUACUAAAUUUCCUCAUUCUUUGACAUUAAUACAUUUUUUUCUUUCUGACAUACCAAGUAAAAGAUGUUAUUCUACAUUAAAACAAAACUGUAAUGGAAUAUUCUCAGCCUUUUUAUUUGCAAAAAUUCAAAACAUUAGAAAAUUGUUUCUAGCAAAAAACCAAUCAAUCAAUGGAAAAAUGGGCAAAAGACCUGAAUAGACAUUUCUCCAAAGAAGAUAUACAGAUGGCCAACAAACACAUGAAAAAAUGCUCAACAUCGCUGAUUAUAAGG
Non-coding RNA from Sus scrofa (pig), 5307 nucleotides. NCBI's taxonomy places the organism in Eukaryota, Metazoa, Chordata, Mammalia, Artiodactyla, Suidae. The record is from RefSeq and is a predicted model, not a curated record.